GACGAACGCUGGCGGCGUGCUUAACACAUGCAAGUCGAACGAUGAAGCCGGAGCUUGCUCUGGUGAAUUAGUGGCGAACGGGUGAGUAACACGUGAGUAACCUGCCCUUGACUCUGGGAUAACUGCGGGAAACUGUAGCUAAUACCGGAUACGACCCUCGGAGGCAUCUCCUGGGGGUGGAAAGAAUUUCGGUCAAGGAUGGACUCGCGGCCUAUCAGCUAGUUGGUGAGGUAAAGGCUCACCAAGGCGACGACGGGUAGCCGGCCUGAGAGGUGGAACGGCCACACUGGGGCUGGGACACGGCCCAGACUCCUACGGGAGGCAGCAGGGGGGAAUAUUGCACAAUGGGCGCAAGCCUGAUGCAGCGACGCCGCGUGAGGGAUGACGGACUUAGGGUUGUAAACCUCUUUUAGCAGGGAAGAAGCGAAAGUGACGGUACCUGCAGAAAAAGCACCGGCUAACUACGUGCCAGCCGCCGCCGUAA
This 484-nucleotide ribosomal RNA is filed under the name uncultured bacterium. RNAcentral describes it as "partial 16S ribosomal RNA". It matches the Rfam family "Bacterial small subunit ribosomal RNA", at positions 28 to 523 of the family's 1533-position model. The record is from RNAcentral.